GGCUUGUUAGCUUAAUGUAUAGAGCGCCGUGUCAACAACGCGGAGGAUGAGAGUUCAAAUCUCUCACAAGCCA
Molecule: transfer RNA, 73 nt
Filed under: Daphnia galeata
Lineage: Eukaryota; Metazoa; Arthropoda; Branchiopoda; Diplostraca; Daphniidae
Rfam family: tRNA
About the family: Transfer RNA (tRNA) molecules are approximately 80 nucleotides in length. Their secondary structure includes four short double-helical elements and three loops (D, anti-codon, and T loops).
Source: Rfam by way of RNAcentral